CACUAGGAAGCUAUGCAACAGCACUAGCCUUUUAAGCUAGAAAAAGAGGAUUACUAACCCUCCCUAAUGAC
Molecule: transfer RNA, 71 nt
Filed under: Campylopterus hemileucurus
Lineage: Eukaryota; Metazoa; Chordata; Aves; Apodiformes; Trochilidae
Description: tRNA-Lys
Rfam family: tRNA
About the family: Transfer RNA (tRNA) molecules are approximately 80 nucleotides in length.
Source: RNAcentral